This 504-nucleotide ribosomal RNA is filed under the name uncultured bacterium. Its description in RNAcentral is "partial 16S ribosomal RNA". It matches the Rfam family "Bacterial small subunit ribosomal RNA", at positions 30 to 523 of the family's 1533-position model. The record is from RNAcentral.
AUUGAACGCUGGCGGCAGGCCUAACACAUGCAAGUCGAACGGUAGCACAGAGAGCUUGCUCUCGGGUGACGAGUGGCGGACGGGUGAGUAACGUCUGGGAAACUGCCCGAUGGAGGGGGAUAACUACUGGAAACGGUAGCUAAUACCGCAUAACGUCGCAAGACCAAAGUGGGGGACCUUCGGGCCUCACACCAUCGGAUGUGCCCAGAUGGGAUUAGCUAGUAGGUGGGGUAAUGGCUCACCUAGGCGACGAUCCCUAGCUGGUCUGAGAGGAUGACCAGCCACACUGGAACUGAGACACGGUCCAGACUCCUACGGGAGGCAGCAGUGGGGAACAUUGCACAAUGGGCGCAAGCCUGAUGCAGCCAUGCCGCGUGUAUGAAGAAGGCCUUCGGGUUGUAAAGUACUUUCAGCGGGGAGGAAGGCGGUGGAGUUAAUAACUUCACCGAUUGACGUUACCCGCAGAAGAAGCACCGGCUAACUCCGUGCCAGCAGCCGCCGUAA